CUCAAAAUAAAACCUCUCCAUUCCUUCUCUCCAUAGACCCUCCAAGUUUUUCUCCAUCAAUUUCGUGGGCUUUGCUUCAAAUAUGGUGACACUUGAGAGGAGUCUUGAAGUGGAAGCUUGGAUUAGUGGUCAUUCAAGCAAGAUUUGGUAUGUCCUCACUAGCUUCGAGGACAUCAUGAUGUUUAGAUUUCCUUAUUGAAAGUAUUGUAAUAGACUUAGCUACUUACUAUAUGUUGAAGUAUGGGUCAUGUCCCAAUAUAUUCGUAUGUCUAAGAUGGCGAUUUUGAGACUUAGUCUUUCAUUAUAUUUUUUUCUAUAAAGAGAUAUUAUGAAGUAUUA
Molecule: long non-coding RNA, 339 nt
Organism: Solanum pennellii
Lineage: Eukaryota; Viridiplantae; Streptophyta; Magnoliopsida; Solanales; Solanaceae
Exons: 2
Source: RefSeq, a predicted model, not a curated record